AGGGGCGUAGCUCAAUUGGCUAGAGCGCCGGUCUCCAAAACCGGAGGUUGUAGGUUCGAGACCUACCGCCCCUGCCA
This 77-nucleotide transfer RNA is filed under the name Oecophyllibacter saccharovorans. Its description in RNAcentral is "tRNA-Trp". It matches the Rfam family "tRNA". From Rfam's summary of the family: Transfer RNA (tRNA) molecules are approximately 80 nucleotides in length. Their secondary structure includes four short double-helical elements and three loops (D, anti-codon, and T loops). Further hydrogen bonds mediate the characteristic L-shaped molecular structure. tRNAs have two regions of fundamental functional importance: the anti-codon, which is responsible for specific mRNA codon recognition, and the 3' end, to which the tRNAs corresponding amino acid is attached (by aminoacyl-tRNA synthetases). tRNAs cope with the degeneracy of the genetic code in two manners: having more than one tRNA (with a specific anti-codon) for a particular amino acid; and 'wobble' base-pairing, i.e. permitting non-standard base-pairing at the 3rd anti-codon position. Lineage: Bacteria; Pseudomonadati; Pseudomonadota; Alphaproteobacteria; Acetobacterales; Acetobacteraceae. The record is from RNAcentral.